UAAUACCUUGCUGUUUUGACGUUAUCCACCCUCCCGGCACUGGCUAACUUCGUGCCAGCAGCCGCGGUAAUACGAAGGGUGCAAGCGUUAAUCGGAAUUACUGGGCGUAAAGCGCGCGUAGGUGGUUCAGCAAGUUGGAUGUGAAAUCCCCGGGCUCAACCUGGGAACUGCAUCCAAAACUACUGAGCUAGAGUACGGUAGAGGGUGGUGGAAUUUCCUGUGUAGCGGUGAAAUGCGUAGAUAUAGCAAGGAACACCAGUGGCGAAGGCGACCACCUGGACUGAUACUGACACUGAUCGUCCCAUAGGAGGGAGCAAACAGGAUUAGAUACCCUGGUAGUCCACGCCGUAAACGAUGUCGACUAGCCGUUGGGAUCCUUGAGAUCUUAGUGGCGCAGCUAACGCGAUAAGUCGACCGCCUGGGGAGUACGGCCGCAAGGUAAAACUCAAGGAAUUGACG
RNAcentral lists this ribosomal RNA (459 nucleotides) under Pseudomonas aeruginosa. Its description in RNAcentral is "bacterial SSU rRNA". It matches the Rfam family "Bacterial small subunit ribosomal RNA", at positions 454 to 915 of the family's 1533-position model. Lineage: Bacteria; Pseudomonadati; Pseudomonadota; Gammaproteobacteria; Pseudomonadales; Pseudomonadaceae. The record is from RNAcentral.